CAAUAGCGUAUAUUAAAGUUGUUGCAGUUAAAAGCUCGUAGUUGGAUUUCUGGGAGAGUGCCAAUGUCCGCCGACGUGCGUGCGCAGCGGCGCUCUUUCAUCCUUCUGUUAACGGCUCUUGGCAUUCAUUUGCUGGUGUCGGGCUCAGAUAUUUUACCUUGAGAAAAUUAGAGUGUUUCAGGCAGGCUAGGCCGGAAUACAUUAGCAUGGAAUAAUGGAAUAGGACUACGGUCUCUUUGUUGGUUUGAGGGACUGCAGUAAUGAUUAAUAGGGAUAGUUGGGGGCGAUUAGUACUUAACUGUCAGAGGUGAAAUUCUCCGAUUUGUUAAAGACUAACUUAUGCGAAAGCAUUUGUCCAAGGAUGUUUUCUAUUAAUCAAGAACGAAAGUAGGGGA
This 395-nucleotide ribosomal RNA is filed under the name uncultured eukaryote. RNAcentral describes it as "SSU rRNA". It matches the Rfam family "Eukaryotic small subunit ribosomal RNA", at positions 592 to 996 of the family's 1831-position model. The record is from RNAcentral.